This is a non-coding RNA of Ruditapes philippinarum (Manila clam), 74 nucleotides long. Lineage: Eukaryota; Metazoa; Mollusca; Bivalvia; Venerida; Veneridae. The record is from the annotation of a RefSeq genome assembly.
CCGUCCGGUUAGCUCAAUAGGUAGAGCGUUGGACUGUGAAUCGAGCGACCCGGGUUCGAUUCCCGGACGACGCA